Molecule: ribosomal RNA, 50 nt
Filed under: Trichoderma harzianum
Lineage: Eukaryota; Fungi; Ascomycota; Sordariomycetes; Hypocreales; Hypocreaceae
Description: partial 28S ribosomal RNA
Source: RNAcentral
CCUCGGAUCAGGUAGGAAUACCCGCUGAACUUAAGCAUAUCAAUAGGCGG